CCUACGGGGGGCAGCAGUGGGGAAUAUUGGACAAUGGGCGAAAGCCUGAUCCAGCCAUGCCGCGUGUGUGAAGAAGGCCUUCGGGUUGUAAAGCACUUUCAGUGGGGAAGAAAGCCUUGGGGCUAAUACCCUCGAGGAAGGACAUCACCCACAGAAGAAGCACCGGCUAACUCGUGCCAGCAGCCGCGGUAAUACGGAGGGUGCGAGCGUUAAUCGGAAUUACUGGGCGUAAAGCGCGCGUAGGCGGUCUGAUAAGCCGGUUGUGAAAGCCCCGGGCUCAACCUGGGAAUGGCAUCCGGAACUGUCAGGCUAGAGUGCAGGAGAGGAAGGUAGAAUUCCCGGUGUAGCGGUGAAAUGCGUAGAGAUCGGGAGGAAUACCAGUGGCGAAGGCGGCCUUCUGGACUGACACUGACGCUGAGGUGCGAAAGCGUGGGUAGCAAACAGGAUUAGAUACCCCGGUAGUC
RNAcentral lists this ribosomal RNA (464 nucleotides) under Vreelandella stevensii. Its description in RNAcentral is "partial 16S ribosomal RNA". It matches the Rfam family "Bacterial small subunit ribosomal RNA", at positions 338 to 795 of the family's 1533-position model. The record is from RNAcentral. Lineage: Bacteria; Pseudomonadati; Pseudomonadota; Gammaproteobacteria; Oceanospirillales; Halomonadaceae.